RNAcentral lists this long non-coding RNA (392 nucleotides) under Notechis scutatus (mainland tiger snake). RNAcentral's name for it is "lncRNA (ENSNSUG00000000333.1)". The record is from RNAcentral. Lineage: Eukaryota; Metazoa; Chordata; Lepidosauria; Squamata; Elapidae.
GAUCUAAUUUUGUAUAAAAUAAUUUCAUAUGUAUUUUAAUCUUUCCUGCAGAAUAUUCAACUGAAGAAAAAUUGAAGUAUAAAUUUUGCAAACAUUAUGUGGAGAUUGGACACCUUACAGGGGACCUGAAGCCUAUGACAUUCUGGCACAUGGACUGUCAUGAUCAAGAUUAUUUUCCUCUUGGAGACGUAACUGCUCAAGAGAAAUCUGGAGAAAUUCAGGCAAUAACAAUUUUACAGUUUUUGAGAUGGAUUGUGAACAUGGGUUUAAAGCCUUAGGAAAUGUAGUUGUUAAAGGCUCUAACCAGCUUCCUGGUCUGCAUAAUUACAGGUAAGCCUGGAUGUCAACUUUCUUUUUUUAAUGAUUGUUUUUUUAAUUAAAAUAUUUUAAUG